This 495-nucleotide ribosomal RNA is filed under the name uncultured bacterium. RNAcentral describes it as "partial 16S ribosomal RNA". It matches the Rfam family "Bacterial small subunit ribosomal RNA", at positions 28 to 507 of the family's 1533-position model. The record is from RNAcentral.
GACGAACGCUGGCGGCGUGCCUAAUACAUGCAAGUAGAACGCUGAAGGAGGAGCUUGCUUCUCUGGAUGAGUUGCGAACGGGUGAGUAACGCGUAGGUAACCUGCCUGGUAGCGGGGGAUAACUAUUGGAAACGAUAGCUAAUACCGCAUAAUAGCAGUUGUUGCAUGACAACUGUUUGAAAGGUGCAAUUGCACCACUACCAGAUGGACCUGCGUUGUAUUAGCUAGUUGGUGGGGUAACGGCUCUCCAAGGCGACGAUACAUAGCCGACCUGAGAGGGUGAUCGGCCACACUGGGACUGAGACACGGCCCAGACUCCUACGGGAGGCAGCAGUAGGGAAUCUUCGGCAAUGGACGGAAGUCUGACCGAGCAACGCCGCGUGAGUGAAGAAGGUUUUCGGAUCGUAAAGCUCUGUUGUAAGAGAAGAACGAGUGUGAGAGUGGAAAGUUCACACUGUGACGGUAUCUUACCAGAAAGGGACGGCUAACUACGUG